Molecule: long non-coding RNA, 1318 nt
Filed under: Linum usitatissimum (flax)
Lineage: Eukaryota; Viridiplantae; Streptophyta; Magnoliopsida; Malpighiales; Linaceae
Description: long non-coding RNA (LUSI_LNC008094)
Source: RNAcentral
AUGCUGAGGAGGCAGGGGAUAAUGACCACAAAUCUGUCCGUACUAAAGGCCAUGAGAUGAAAUUCACAAGAGAUGUCCUGCCACAGCCUCAAAUCUCUAACUAUGAUGGUGAUGAUGCUACAUUCAAAAAGUUGAUGAAGGAUAUCGAGUCGCAACCUCAAAUCUCUAGCUACGGAGCUACUCGUGCAUCUAGUAAAUUUGUGAGAGAUGUCAUGCCACAACCUCAACUUUCGAGCUAUGAUGACAACGGUGUCGAGCGGAGCAAGGUUGAACAAGGUGUCAGGCAUCAACUGAGGGGUACUGAUACAGGGAGAUUCGUUGGAGUUGUCGAGUCACAACCUCAAAUCUCUAAUUAUGGUGAUGAUGCUAUAUCAAUUAAGUUUGCGGAGGACGUAAAGUCGCAACCUCAGAUCUCGAGCUAUGAUGGUGAUGCUACAUCAAAGAAGUUCGUGAAGGACUUCAAGUCGCAGCCUCAAAUCUCUAGGUACGGACCUGAGCACAAAUUCAUGAAGGACAUCAUGCCGCAACCUCAAAUUUCGAGCUACGAUGACAACGGUAUCAAGCUAAGCAAGGUUGAAGAAGGUAGAUUCGUUAGAGACAUCGAGUCACAACCUCAAAUCUCCAACUAUGAUGGCGAUGCUAUGUCAAAUAAAUUUGUUAAGGACAUCGAGCCGCAACCUCAAAUCUCGAGCUAUGGAACCCCGCACAAAUUCACAAAGGACAUCAUGCCACAACCUCAAAUUUCGAGCUACGAUGAGAAGGGUGUCGAGCGGAGCAAGGUCGAAGAAGGUACUGGAAAAUUCGUUAGAGACCUCGAGUCACAGCCUCAAAUCUCCAACUACGACGACAAUAAUACCGCCCCGAAUAAGUUUGCAAAGGAUUUGAGGUCGGAACCUCAAAUCUCCAACUACGACGACAAUAAUACCGCCCCGAAUAAGUUUGCAAAGGAUUUGAGGUCGCAACCUCAAAUCUCUAACUAUGGAGAAAAGAUGGGAAACAAAUUCACGAAGGACAUCAUGCCACAACCUCAGAUUUCAAGCUAUGACGAGAAUGGCGUUGUAGGAAGCAAGAAAGAUGAUCUCGCCCAAGAACUAGUCAAGGUUGUGGAGCAGAUAGCCAUGGUUGUAGUGUAAGAGCUGGAUGAAGAAUUAAUGGUCCGCAGCCUAAAAUUAGCCAAGAUGAUGAUCAUUCUAUUGUACCCUGUUUUUAGUUUCAGUUAAUGCCCUGGAAUAAUGAUAAUUGUCAUGUAGUUUGCAUGUGUCUUAAUUAAUUUUCACAAAUAAUAAUAAUAAUUAUGAUCGCACGGACUUUAGUUUGU